GGUUGAUCCUGCCAGUAGUCAUAUGCUUGUCUCAAAGAUUAAGCCAUGCAUGUCUAAGUAUAAGCAAUUUAUACAGUGAAACUGCGAAUGGCUCAUUAAAUCAGUUAUCGUUUAUUUGAUAGUUUCUUUACUACAUGGAAUACCUGUGGUAAUUCUAGAGCUAAUACAUGCUUAAAAUCCCAACUCACGAAGGGAUGUAUUUAUUAGAUAAAAAAUCAAUGUCUUCGGACUUCUGAUGAUUCAUAAUAACUUUUCGAAUCGCAUGGCUUUAUGCUGGCGAUGGUUCAUUCAAA
RNAcentral lists this ribosomal RNA (293 nucleotides) under uncultured eukaryote. RNAcentral describes it as "partial 18S ribosomal RNA". It matches the Rfam family "Eukaryotic small subunit ribosomal RNA", at positions 6 to 303 of the family's 1831-position model. The record is from RNAcentral.